Molecule: long non-coding RNA, 222 nt
Filed under: Elaeis guineensis (African oil palm)
Lineage: Eukaryota; Viridiplantae; Streptophyta; Magnoliopsida; Arecales; Arecaceae
Description: long non-coding RNA (EGUI_LNC047775)
Source: RNAcentral
UCUGCUUCAACAGAAAUGGAGUGCUCGAGUGAGAAUUUUAAUAGAGUUUUGAGAUAGAGUUUUUGAGCUUAGAGAAGAACGUAUCUGGGGGUCCCUUUUUAUAGAUGGAGUGCAUAACUAAUUGACAGCGACAUCUGUAACCAUCUGGUAGUGGGCUGUUCAGAGCCGCCCAGAGUUUGUUACGGAGAGUAGUGGUGUCAGGGGUCGUUCAGGGCCAUGUGG